Molecule: ribosomal RNA, 497 nt
Filed under: uncultured bacterium
Lineage: Bacteria
Description: partial 16S ribosomal RNA
Rfam family: Bacterial small subunit ribosomal RNA
Source: RNAcentral
GAUGAACGCUGGCGGCGUGCCUAAUACAUGCAAGUCGAGCGAACGGACGAGAAGCUUGCUUCUCUGAUGUUAGCGGCGGACGGGUGAGUAACACGUGGAUAACCUACCUAUAAGACUGGGAUAACUUCGGGAAACCGGAGCUAAUACCGGAUGAUAUUUUGAACCGCAUGGUUCAAAAGUGAAAGACGGUCUUGCUGUCACUUAUAGAUGGAUCCGCGCUGCAUUAGCUAGUUGGUAAGGUAACGGCUUACCAAGGCAACGAUGCAUAGCCGACCUGAGAGGGUGAUCGGCCACACUGGAACUGAGACACGGUCCAGACUCCUACGGGAGGCAGCAGUAGGGAGUCUUCCGCAAUGGGCGAAAGCCUGACGGAGCAACGCCGCGUGAGUGAUGAAGGUCUUCGGAUCGUAAAACUCUGUUAUUAGGGAAGAACAUAUGUGUAAGUAACUGUGCACAUCUUGACGGUACCUAAUCAGAAAGCCUCGGCUAACUACGUG